RNAcentral lists this long non-coding RNA (1303 nucleotides) under Sorghum bicolor (sorghum). RNAcentral's name for it is "long non-coding RNA (SBIC_LNC018512)". Lineage: Eukaryota; Viridiplantae; Streptophyta; Magnoliopsida; Poales; Poaceae. The record is from RNAcentral.
UCACUUGAGCCUCUUCACCUAGGAGUACCAUCGAGAACUUCCACAACGGUUUCUGAGCCUAUGGUGCAUUAGGCAUAAAGCAUGCACCUAUCUUGCACCGAAACUAAUACUAUCUCCAACUGGACUGAAGCCAAGAUUCCGCAUGAGCCUCUUCACCAAGGAGUACCAUCGCAUGUGUCAAAAAUAGUUUCUUAGCCUAUGUUCCACGCAAACCGUGCUCCUAUCUUGCAUCAGGAGUAGCACUAUCUCCAAACAGACCAUACCGAGCUUCCAUUUGAGUCUAUUCUCCUAGGAGUACCAUCGGGUGCGUCCAAAAUGGUUUCUUAGCCUAUGGUGCAUUAGGAACAAACCGUACACCUAUCUUGCACCAAAACUAACACUGUCUCCAAAUGGACCGAAGGGAAAUUCCAUAUGACACACCUCAUCAAGGAGUUCUAUCGGGUGCGUCCAAAUUGAUUUCUAAGUAAAUGGUACGUACCAUGCAAACCGUGCACCUAUUUUACAUCAAGAUUAGCACUAUCUCCAAACAGACCAAACUAAGCUUCCACUUGAGCCUCUUCACCUAGGAGUACCCUCAGGUGUGUCCAAAAUGAUUUUGGAGCCUAUGGUUCAUUUGGUGCAAACCGUGCAGUGCACCUUUAUUACACCAAAACUAACAUUGUCUCUAAAUAGACCGAAGCGAGACUCCAUAUGACACACAUUAUCUAAGAGUUUCAUUGGGUGCAUCUAAAUUGAUUUCCAAGCCUAUGGUAGUUUCCAUACAAACCGUGCACCUAUCUUGCAUCAAGAUUAGCACAAUCUCAAAACACACCGAACCAAGCUUGCACUUGAGCCUCUUCACCUAGGAGUAUCAUUCGGUGCUUCCACAAUAAUUUAUGAGAUUAUGGUGCAUUAGGCGCAAACCAUGCACCUAUCUUCUAGUGAAACUAACAUUGUCUCCAAAUGGACCGAAGCGAGAUUACAUAUGACACAUGUCAUCUAGCAGUUCCAUCGGGUGCGUCCAAAUUGAUUUCCUAGCAUAUGGUAUGUUCCAUGCAAACCGUGCAACUAUCUUGUAUCAAGAUUUGAAUUGUCUCCAAAUAGACAAAACCGAGGUUCCACUUGAGCCUCUUCACCUAGGAGUACUAUUGAGUGCAUCAAAAAUGGUUUCUUAGACCAUGCAUUAGGUGCAAACCAUGCACCUAUGUUGCAUCGAAACUAACACUAUAUCCAAAGGGACCAAAGUGAGAUUCCAUAUGACACACAUCAUCUAGGAGUUCUAUCAGGUGCAUCCAAAUUGAUUUUCGAGUAUAUGGUACGUUCC